This 449-nucleotide ribosomal RNA is filed under the name uncultured bacterium. RNAcentral describes it as "partial 16S ribosomal RNA". It matches the Rfam family "Bacterial small subunit ribosomal RNA", at positions 338 to 795 of the family's 1533-position model. The record is from RNAcentral.
CCUACGGGAGGCUGCAGUGGGGAAUUUUGGACAAUGGGGGAAACCCUGAUCCAGCAAUGCCGCGUGUGUGAAGAAGGCCUGCGGGUUGUAAAGCACUUUCGGUUGGGAAGAAAAGUUUGGCGCCAAUACCGCCGAACCUUGACGUUACUGACAGAAGAAGCACCGGCUAACUCUGUGCCAGCAGCCGCGGUAAUACAGAGGGUGCAAGCGGGCAUCGGAAUCACUGGGCGGGUCGCGUGAGUCGGGGGUCAAAUCCCCGGGCUUAACCUGGGAACUGCAUGCGAUACUACAUGGCUAGAGUAUGGUAGAGGGAAGUGGAAUUUCCGGUGUAGCGGUGAAAUGCGUAGAUAUCGGAAGGAACACCAAUGGCGAAGGCAGCUUCCUGGACUAAUACUGACACUGAGGCACGAAAGCGUGGGUAGCAAACAGGAUUAGAUACCCUAGUAGUC